This 277-nucleotide small RNA is filed under the name Pongo abelii (Sumatran orangutan). Lineage: Eukaryota; Metazoa; Chordata; Mammalia; Primates; Hominidae. The record is from RNAcentral.
GCUGGGCACGGUGGCUCACACCUGUAAUCCCAGCAAUUUGGGAGGCUGAGGUGGGUGGAUCACCUGAGGUCAGGAGACCAGCCUGGCCAAUAUGGUGAAACCCCAUCUCUACUAAAAGCACAAAAAAUUAGCCAGGUAUGCUGGCACCUGCCUGUAAUCCCAGCUACUCAGGAGGCUGAGGCAGUAGAAUUGCUUGAACCUAGGGGAUGGAGGUUGCAGUGAGCUGAGAUUGCACCACUGUGCUCCAGCCUGGGCAACAGAGUGAGACUCCAUCUCA